Molecule: long non-coding RNA, 676 nt
Filed under: Drosophila guanche
Lineage: Eukaryota; Metazoa; Arthropoda; Insecta; Diptera; Drosophilidae
Source: RNAcentral
CAUAAUUCGGGUCCAUUUAAUUGGAGAAUUUGGGCAGCCAGAAAAUAUUUCAUUGUUGUACUCUUCGUUCCAGCCUAUCUUUCAGACAGUAACAAGUUAUAUUUAUUUAAUUUAUUAAUUUUCAAUUCAAUUUUUGGUCAAGCAAUUUCCAAACUGUACUAUUUUACAGCUACAUAUCUCCAAUCAGUUGUCGUUGUAAUAAUUCCACAAUGUUUACAUUUUAAUUAUAUAUUUACGAGUAUAUAACUCUAAUUCUCUCUCUCCUCUGAGGCAACCGAGAGUGUCAUGAGAACUGCACGCCAAAAGUCAACCUGUGCACCAUUGCCCCUUUGGCCGUAUUUGGGAGAAUGGUGUCCGCCUCCAGCGUCUCCUUCCAUUAGCGCCGCUAAUGUCUGUAUGACAAGUUCUCAAAAAGAAGCCAAAACUCCCAAUAAACGAUUUUUUGUUCGAAUAGAAACACUGAUGAAACGGCCUUUUUUGGGUUAUGAAAUCCAUAGCACUCGUAAGAUCGUAAAACAAAUGAACGACUGUUUGAAUAGUUUUGUAUUUAAUCAGUUAACACUCAAAAGCUUGAUCGGAUCGGAAUAGAUGGGAUGGGAGCCACUGCCCCACCUUUGUUUUUGCCGUGAAGGCCCCAUCAAUAUUUCAAAUUCAAUUGAAUUCAUUUCAAUUCCAU